This 274-nucleotide ribosomal RNA is filed under the name uncultured bacterium. RNAcentral describes it as "partial 16S ribosomal RNA". It matches the Rfam family "Bacterial small subunit ribosomal RNA", at positions 523 to 796 of the family's 1533-position model. The record is from RNAcentral.
AUACGGAGGGUGCAAGCGUUAAUCGGAAUUACUGGGCGUAAAGCGCGCGUAGGCGGUUUGGUAAGUCGGAUGUGAAAGCCCCGGGCUCAACCUGGGAAUUGCAUUCGAUACUGUCAGGCUAGAGUAUGGUAGAGGGAAGCGGAAUUCCAGGUGUAGCGGUGAAAUGCGUAGAUAUCUGGAGGAACAUCAGUGGCGAAGGCGGCUUCCUGGACCGACACUGACGCUGAGGCGCGAAAGCGUGGGGAGCAAACAGGAUUAGAUACCCCAGUAGUCC